This 74-nucleotide transfer RNA is filed under the name Epinephelus undulosus (wavy-lined grouper). RNAcentral's name for it is "tRNA-Asp". It matches the Rfam family "tRNA". From Rfam's summary of the family: Transfer RNA (tRNA) molecules are approximately 80 nucleotides in length. The record is from RNAcentral. Lineage: Eukaryota; Metazoa; Chordata; Actinopteri; Perciformes; Serranidae.
AAGACAUUAGUAGAACGCGACAAAUACACCGCCUUAUCGAGGCGAAACUGCGGGUUUGAAUCCCGCGUGUCUUA